This 1060-nucleotide long non-coding RNA is filed under the name Lepisosteus oculatus (spotted gar). Its description in RNAcentral is "lncRNA (ENSLOCG00000021469.1)". Lineage: Eukaryota; Metazoa; Chordata; Actinopteri; Semionotiformes; Lepisosteidae. The record is from RNAcentral.
UUUUCCAUCACAGUAAUUGUCAAGGCUUCAGCCGAAAUAGGAUGGCCAGGGCUCAGGAAACUCCCACUCACAAGCAGAGAGGACAACGUAUUAUACAGUGCUCAUCCUGAGACGCCAGCAUCCUGCAGGCACCGGAAUAGUCUUGGAAGACAAAAAUCCUGCUUGCAAGGUUUAUAGUGGCAGCUUGAUCACCAGCAGCAGCUCCCUUUCAACUUCUCAGCAUGGUGCCGCAUAAGACAGCAUGCGGCUAUUUCGGACAAGGACACAAGGACAGUGCCUUCCUUAUGGUUCUGCGUAUCUGGCUCCAUCGCUGGGGUGGCAGGGAGGAGAGCGAGCAGCCAAGUGAAGCAGCGGGAGACGAGAGGGCUGGAGGGCCUGAAAGAAGAGACCUAAGAGAGGACAAGGGGAUAAUGGGUUCCGUAAGUAAGGUCAAGGAUUUUGCAUCAGCUGAAACCGGCUGAAAGGAAAGAUAGAGAUGGAGAGGACGGAGCUGCAGAAGAGAGACUGUGAUGGGAGCAGUGAGGCCUUUGAGGGUUUUGGCCGGGUGGGGGAUGUCCUACUGCUGAUGAAGGGGGGCUGGCCUGGAAAGAGCUGCAGUCGUCCAGUCUAGAGGGCAGGCCAGUCAAGAGCUGGGACCAGGAGCCGAGUCAGAACUGGUGUGAAGAGGUGCCAGGCCCUGCACAAUUUGUUCAGAUAAAGACGGUCGGGGAAGGGAUGGGAUGUGCCGAGAGCAGGAAAAUAAAGGGAUCAACGGUAACCUCAAGGUCCUCGCCAGUCAGGGAAUGGGGAAGACAGACUCAAGAGGAGCAGAAGUAGAGAAGUCGGAAAGGUUGUGAAAAUGAGGUGCCGCUAAAUGUGUUUUCAUAUGUGUUUGGGGGUAUUCUGAAAAAUGUGGGAAUAGGCAGACAGCCGCGAUGAAAUUCAGAAUUUCUCUAUUCGGGAGGAAAGACGAGGACUAAUGGAGCAGACAGAGAUGUAAAUAAAGGUGUCCCAGCACUCUUCCUUGGGAACCACCUGCAGAUGGAAUUCAUAGUUACUCUUGCAUCAGGGAUGCAGGGAG